AGAGUUUGAUCCUGGCUCAGGAUAAACGCUAGCGGCGUGCCUAAUGCAUGCAAGUCGAACGGUUUAUCGAAAGGUAAACAGUGGCAAACGGCUGAGUAACACGUAAGCAAUCUGUCCUUAAGUGGGGAAUAAUUAACCGAAAGGUUGACUAAUACCGCAUGUGGUAGUGGGGGUAGGUUUCCAUUACCAAAGCUUUCGGGCGCUUGAGGAGGGGCUUGCGUCCUAUCAGGUAGUUGGUGAGGUAACGGCCCACCAAGCCGAUGACGGGUAGCUGGUUUAAGAGGACGUCCAGCCAGACGGGGACUGAGACACGGCCCCGACUCCUACGGGAGGCAGCAGCAAGGAAUUUUGCGCAAUGGGCGAAAGCCUGACGCAGCAACGCCGCGUGAGGGAAGAAGGCCUUCGGGUUGUAAACCUCUUUUCCCAGGGAAGAAUAAUGACGGUACCUGGGGAAUAAGUCACGGCUAACUACGUGCCAGCAGCCGCGGUAAUACGUAGGUGGCAAGCGUUAUCCGGAUUCACUGGGCGUAAAGAGCGCGUAGGUGGUCCUUCAAGUCAGAUGUUAAAUCUCCUGGCUUAACUGGGAGCCGUCAUUUGAUACUGCUGGACUUGAGGAUGGUAGAAGGAGGUGGAAUUCCCGGUGUAGUGGUGAAAUGCGUAGAUAUCGGGAGGAACACCAGUGGCGAAAGCGGCCUCCUAGGCCAUUCCUGACACUGAGGCGCGAAAGCGUGGGGAGCGAACAGGAUCAGAUACCCUGGUAGUCCACGCCCUAAACUGUGAAAACUAGGUACAGGGAGUAUCGACCCUUCCUGCGCCGUAGCUAACGCGUUAAGUUUUCCGCCUGGGGACUACGGUCGCAAGACUAAAACUCAAAGGAAUUGACGG
This 885-nucleotide ribosomal RNA is filed under the name uncultured bacterium. RNAcentral's name for it is "bacterial SSU rRNA". It matches the Rfam family "Bacterial small subunit ribosomal RNA", at positions 8 to 916 of the family's 1533-position model. The record is from RNAcentral.